GGAUUUGGAACAACAAUCUAAAAAUAGGGUUUUAGUCAUAUCUCCAAGAAGAUUAAUUUAAAGAACAAAUUGACAAUUACUAAACAUAUUAAAAGCAGGCAUGUCUCAUCACUCAUGGCAGGUAGCUCAUGUAAAUAUCCAGUUGGAUCAAUUGAAUGAAACCUAUACAAGCAUUCACCCACUAGAAAAUAUCCCAAAAAGUAGAACUGACUGGCAGUAGAACCAACAGUUCAGAUAUUCAUAAAAAAGAUUUUAACCUCAUGAUGCUUUCAUCAAGAAUAAGUAACUUCUGAAUUUCAAAACUCAAAAUAACAGAACUUACAUGCCUGUCAAAUCU
RNAcentral lists this unclassified non-coding RNA (337 nucleotides) under Hevea brasiliensis (rubber tree). Lineage: Eukaryota; Viridiplantae; Streptophyta; Magnoliopsida; Malpighiales; Euphorbiaceae. The record is from RNAcentral.